UACGUAGGGGGCUAGCGUUGUCCGGAUUUAUUGGGCGUAAAGAGCGUGUAGGCGGCCAUGUAGGUCCGGUGUGAAAACUCGAGGCUUAACCUCGAGAUGUCAUCGGAAACCAUUUGGCUAGAGUCCGGAAGAGGAGAGUGGAAUUCCUGGUGUAGCGGUGAAAUGCGCAGAUAUCAGGAAGAGCACCAAUGGCGAAAGCAGCUCUCUGGGACGGUACUGACGCUGAGACGCGAAAGCGUGGGGAGCAAACAGG
This 253-nucleotide ribosomal RNA is filed under the name uncultured bacterium. RNAcentral's name for it is "partial 16S ribosomal RNA". It matches the Rfam family "Bacterial small subunit ribosomal RNA", at positions 524 to 776 of the family's 1533-position model. The record is from RNAcentral.